This 2988-nucleotide ribosomal RNA is filed under the name Salmonella enterica subsp. enterica serovar Typhimurium str. DT104. RNAcentral's name for it is "bacterial LSU rRNA". It matches the Rfam family "Bacterial large subunit ribosomal RNA". Lineage: Bacteria; Pseudomonadati; Pseudomonadota; Gammaproteobacteria; Enterobacterales; Enterobacteriaceae. The record is from RNAcentral.
UUAAGCGACUAAGCGUACACGGUGGAUGCCCUGGCAGUCAGAGGCGAUGAAGGACGUGCUAAUCUGCGAUAAGCGCCGGUAAGGUGAUAUGAACCGUUAUAACCGGCGAUACCCGAAUGGGGAAACCCAGUGUGAUUCGUCACACUAUCAUUAACUGAAUCCAUAGGUUAAUGAGGCGAACCGGGGGAACUGAAACAUCUAAGUACCCCGAGGAAAAGAAAUCAACCGAGAUUCCCCCAGUAGCGGCGAGCGAACGGGGGGGGGGCCAGAGCCUGAAUCAGCAUGGGUGUUAGUGGAAGCGUCUGGAAAGGCGCGCGAUACAGGGUGACAGCCCCGUACACAAAAGCGCAUGUGCUGUGAGCUCGAUGAGUAGGGCGGGACACGUGGUAUCCUGUCUGAAUAUGGGGGGACCAUCCUCCAAGGCUAAAUACUCCUGACUGACCGAUAGUGAACCAGUACCGUGAGGGAAAGGCGAAAAGAACCCCGGCGAGGGGAGUGAAAAAGAACCUGAAACCGUGUACGUACAAGCAGUGGGAGCACCCUUCGGGGUGUGACUGCGUACCUUUUGUAUAAUGGGUCAGCGACUUAUAUUCUGUAGCAAGGUUAACCGUAUAGGGGAGCCGGAGGGAAACCGAGUCUUAACCGGGCGUUAAGUUGCAGGGUAUAGACCCGAAACCCGGUGAUCUAGCCAUGGGCAGGUUGAAGGUUGGGUAACACUAACUGGAGGACCGAACCGACUAAUGUUGAAAAAUUAGCGGAUGACCUGUGGCUGGGGGUGAAAGGCCAAUCAAACCGGGAGAUAGCUGGUUCUCCCCGAAAGCUAUUUAGGUAGCGCCUCGUGAAUUCAUCUCCGGGGGUAGAGCACUGUUUCGGCUAGGGGGCCAUCCCGGCUUACCAACCCGAUGCAAACUGCGAAUACCGGAGAAUGUUAUCACGGGAGACACACGGCGGGUGCUAACGUCCGUCGUGAAGAGGGAAACAACCCAGACCGCCAGCUAAGGUCCCAAAGUCAUGGUUAAGUGGGAAACGAUGUGGGAAGGCCCAGACAGCCAGGAUGUUGGCUUAGAAGCAGCCAUCAUUUAAAGAAAGCGUAAUAGCUCACUGGUCGAGUCGGCCUGCGCGGAAGAUGUAACGGGGCUAAACCAUGCACCGAAGCUGCGGCAGCGAACGUAUCACCCAAGACAACUUUACGGAGUUGACGAUUGACGGAGCGAAGCGACGUCAAAGCGUUCAUUAAAGUCGAGUUGGCUUAGGGAUACGUUCGUUGGGUAGGGGAGCGUUCUGUAAGCCUGUGAAGGUGUGUCGUGAGGCAUGCUGGAGGUAUCAGAAGUGCGAAUGCUGACAUAAGUAACGAUAAAGCGGGUGAAAAGCCCGCUCGCCGGAAGACCAAGGGUUCCUGUCCAACGUUAAUCGGGGCAGGGUGAGUCGACCCCUAAGGCGAGGCCGAAAGGCGUAGUCGAUGGGAAACGGGUUAAUAUUCCCGUACUUGGUGUUACUGCGAAGGGGGGACGGAGAAGGCUAUGUUGGCCGGGCGACGGUUGUCCCGGUUUAAGCGUGUAGGUGUGUGUUCCAGGUAAAUCCGGUUCACUUUAACACUGAGGCGUGACGACGAGGCACUACGGUGCUGAAGCAACAAAUGCCCUGCUUCCAGGAAAAGCCUCUAAGCAUCAGGUAACACGAAAUCGUACCCCAAACCGACACAGGUGGUCAGGUAGAGAAUACCAAGGCGCUUGAGAGAACUCGGGUGAAGGAACUAGGCAAAAUGGUGCCGUAACUUCGGGAGAAGGCACGCUGACACGUAGGUGAAGUGAUUUACUCAUGGAGCUGAAGUCAGUCGAAGAUACCAGCUGGCUGCAACUGUUUAUUAAAAACACAGCACUGUGCAAACACGAAAGUGGACGUAUACGGUGUGACGCCUGCCCGGUGCCGGAAGGUUAAUUGAUGGGGUCAGCGCAAGCGAAGCUCCUGAUCGAAGCCCCGGUAAACGGCGGCCGUAACUAUAACGGUCCUAAGGUAGCGAAAUUCCUUGUCGGGUAAGUUCCGACCUGCACGAAUGGCGUAAUGAUGGCCAGGCUGUCUCCACCCGAGACUCAGUGAAAUUGAACUCGCUGUGAAGAUGCAGUGUACCCGCGGCAAGACGGAAAGACCCCGUGAACCUUUACUAUAGCUUGACACUGAACAUUGAGCCUUGAUGUGUAGGAUAGGUGGGAGGCUUUGAAGUGUGGACGCCAGUCUGCAUGGAGCCGACCUUGAAAUACCACCCUUUAAUGUUUGAUGUUCUAACGUGGACCCGUAAUCCGGGUUGCGGACAGUGUCUGGUGGGUAGUUUGACUGGGGCGGUCUCCUCCUAAAGAGUAACGGAGGAGCACGAAGGUUGGCUAAUCCUGGUCGGACAUCAGGAGGUUAGUGCAAUGGCAUAAGCCAGCUUGACUGCGAGCGUGACGGCGCGAGCAGGUGCGAAAGCAGGUCAUAGUGAUCCGGUGGUUCUGAAUGGAAGGGCCAUCGCUCAACGGAUAAAAGGUACUCCGGGGAUAACAGGCUGAUACCGCCCAAGAGUUCAUAUCGACGGCGGUGUUUGGCACCUCGAUGUCGGCUCAUCACAUCCUGGGGCUGAAGUAGGUCCCAAGGGUAUGGCUGUUCGCCAUUUAAAGUGGUACGCGAGCUGGGUUUAGAACGUCGUGAGACAGUUCGGUCCCUAUCUGCCGUGGGCGCUGGAGAACUGAGGGGGGCUGCUCCUAGUACGAGAGGACCGGAGUGGACGCAUCACUGGUGUUCGGGUUGUCAUGCCAAUGGCACUGCCCGGUAGCUAAAUGCGGAAGAGAUAAGUGCUGAAAGCAUCUAAGCACGAAACUUGCCCCGAGAUGAGUUCUCCCUGAGACUUAGAGUCUCCUGAAGGAACGUUGAAGACGACGACGUUGAUAGGCCGGGUGUGUAAGCGCAGCGAUGCGUUGAGCUAACCGGUACUAAUGAACCGUGAGGCUUAACCUU